GAAGAAGAAGAAGGAGGAGAAAAAGAAGGCAAAGAAAAAGGUAAGGAUGUGGAUGAAAGACCUGCUUACAUGGAUGACUUUGAUGAUGAUUUUGGUCAGUACAUGAAGGGUGAGCAUGAUGUAGAUCUUUUCCCUGAAGAAGAAGUUUUUACUCCAGUAGAUCCUAGCAAAAUGGAGCAAUGAAGACUUCAUCUGAGACCCAUUUAAAACCGUCACAAUCUGUACAAGUGAGGUUUGAUUUUGCAGUGGGCAGUUUUUGAAGCAAUGACCAGAUUCUCCGCAAGCGUAACAACCAUUCUCUACUGGUAAUUUCACCAUCUUGCAUUUGACAGGAUCGAUGGCAUCGUCAAACCAUUCAAAGUACUGACAGGUUGGAAUUGAACACUUCAAAAACAU
This is a long non-coding RNA of Papaver somniferum (opium poppy), 396 nucleotides long. RefSeq lists it as uncharacterized. NCBI's taxonomy places the organism in Eukaryota, Viridiplantae, Streptophyta, Magnoliopsida, Ranunculales, Papaveraceae. The transcript is spliced from 4 exons. The record is from RefSeq and is a predicted model, not a curated record.